RNAcentral lists this ribosomal RNA (491 nucleotides) under uncultured bacterium. Its description in RNAcentral is "partial 16S ribosomal RNA". It matches the Rfam family "Bacterial small subunit ribosomal RNA", at positions 29 to 506 of the family's 1533-position model. The record is from RNAcentral.
AGUGAACGCUGGCGGUAGGCCUAACACAUGCAAGUCGAACGGCAGCACAGUAAGAGCUUGCUCUUACGGGUGGCGAGUGGCGGACGGGUGAGGAAUACAUCGGAAUCUACUUUUUCGUGGGGGAUAACGUAGGGAAACUUACGCUAAUACCGCAUACGACCUACGGGUGAAAGCAGGGGAUCUUCGGACCUUGCGCGAUUGAAUGAGCCGAUGUCGGAUUAGCUAGUUGGCGGGGUAAAGGCCCACCAAGGCGACGAUCCGUAGCUGGUCUGAGAGGAUGACCGGCCACACGGGAAUGGGGAAACGGCCCAGACCCCUACGGGAGGAAGCAGUGGGGAAUUUGGGCAAAUGGGGGAAAGCCUGACCCAGCCAUACCGCGUGGGUGAAGAAGGCCUUGGGGUUGUAAAGCCCUUUUGUUGGGAAAAAAAAGCAGCAGGUUAAAACCCCGCUGUUCUGACGGUACCCAAAGAAAAAGCACCGGCUAACUUCGU